UCUUGUAUCAUCUGGUAUCAGAGCCAGGUUUACCUUUUCCAUCUUCCUUUGAUAGUUUUGAUUUCUAGUUUUGUUUUAUUUAAUUUUCAAAAAAAUAAAAAUAAAUAAGAACCCUAGUUUGUUGCAGCCUUGUUUUCUAUAGGUUGUUUAGUUAUAUUUCCUUAAAAAAAAUUCGUCACUAUUCUUUCCUUAAAUCGUCUGCUUCAGUCUUUGAUUCGGUUUCUGUACUACUUCAAGGUUUUCGUCAAAAAAAAAUAAAAAUUAUUUCGUUUUCUUUUAAAUUUUUGUGUCAUUAUCUUUGUUAGCUAGUAUUGUUUAAGUAUCUUAAAGCUUAUUUAAAAAAAUAAAAAUAAAAAAGUUUUCAUAUUCUUGUCUAAUUCAGCACGUGCAUCAGUUUCUUGUUUCUAAAGUUUUCAUUUUUGAUUUCUGUGGUACGUUGAUUUUCUUUGUUGUUUUUGUUUAAGAGCAGGAUACUUUUAGACAAUCAUAAUGGGAGAACACGCAGCCAUACC
Molecule: long non-coding RNA, 512 nt
Filed under: Capsella rubella
Lineage: Eukaryota; Viridiplantae; Streptophyta; Magnoliopsida; Brassicales; Brassicaceae
Description: long non-coding RNA (CRUB_LNC000097)
Source: RNAcentral